Molecule: ribosomal RNA, 525 nt
Filed under: Triticum aestivum (bread wheat)
Lineage: Eukaryota; Viridiplantae; Streptophyta; Magnoliopsida; Poales; Poaceae
Description: partial small subunit ribosomal RNA
Source: RNAcentral
CUUACAAUCAGGUAUGAGCAAAACCUUUCCAAGCUAAACCAAUACUACAAGCAAAGGGCCAAGAAAAGUUGGGCUAAAGAUGGUGAUAGAAACACAAGGUUCUUUCAACAAGCUGUCUUAAAACGAAGGAGGAGGAACACUAUAUUUUCUAUUAAGGAUGAGCAUGAUGUUGUUCACUUUAAGCCUAAUCUUAUAGCUAAUACUUUUGUCAAUUAUUUCAGGUUUAUAUUAAGACCUUACAUUGUAUCGCAACCUUUGUCUCAAUCAAUUGAUCCAACUUAUUCCAUUCCAGAUAAGAGUGAGAUAUUGCAAAUUCUUAAAGAUAUGAAGCUUAAUGCGUCACCUGGCCCAGAUGGUUUCAAUGUGGAAUUUUAUCUGGCAACAUGGGAUUGGAUUGGGGAUGAUGUCACUGCUUUGGUUAUAAGUUUUUAUAACACAGGUAUCUUACCCCCUCACAUUGGGGACACUAACAUUGCUCUCAUCCCUAAAAAGCUUGUCCCCCAAGUCCCUACUGAUUAUAGACCU